RNAcentral lists this ribosomal RNA (328 nucleotides) under uncultured eukaryote. RNAcentral describes it as "partial 18S ribosomal RNA". It matches the Rfam family "Eukaryotic small subunit ribosomal RNA", at positions 1470 to 1796 of the family's 1831-position model. The record is from RNAcentral.
CCCUUAGAUGUUCUGGGCCGCACGCGCGCUACACUGAUGCAUUCAACGAGUCUAAAACCUGGUCUGAGAGGGCUGGGUAAUCUUUUGAAAGUGCAUCGUGAUUGGGAUAGAUGAUUGCAAUUCUUCAUCUUCAACGAGGAAUGCCUAGUAAACGCAAGUCAUCAGCUUGCAUUGAUUACGUCCCUGCCCUUUGUACACACCGCCCGUCGCUCCUACCGAUUGAGUGGUCCGGUGAGGCUUUGGGAUCUGAGCGGAAAGAGCGUUUCGCUGUUUCUGCUCGGAAAACUCAGUCGAACCUUAUCAUUUAGAGGAAGGAGAAGUCGUAACA